Molecule: non-coding RNA, 2029 nt
Organism: Myiozetetes cayanensis
Lineage: Eukaryota; Metazoa; Chordata; Aves; Passeriformes; Tyrannidae
Source: the annotation of a RefSeq genome assembly
CCAUGGCCUCCUCAUCAUCCUCCUCCUCCUCCUUCCUGCCCUUCCUCCUCCUCCUCCUCGCCCUCCCAGGGCUGAGGGCGGCCGUGACCCUGACGGAGUCGGGCGGCGACCUCAAAGCCCCCGGGCAGUCGCUGACGCUCGUCUGCCGCGCCUCCGGCUUCACCUUCGGCGACUACGGCAUGGGAUGGGCGCGCCAGAGCCCCGGGAAGGGGCUGGAAUGGCUCGCUGGGAUCACCAAGAGUGGUGGUUCUGGCACCUUCUACGCGCCGUCGGUGCAGGGCCGGUUCAGCAUCAGCAGGGACAACGGGCAGAGCUCGGUGACGCUGCAGAUGAACAACCUCAGGGACGAGGAUUCCGCCGCCUAUUUCUGCGCCAGGGGUGCUCACGGUGGUGGUGGCGGGUGGGUUAAUGACAUCAUUGGGUGGGUCAAUGACAUCAUCAGGCGGGUCAAUGACACCAUUGGGUGGGUGAAUGACAUCAUUGGGUGGGCCAAUGACAUCAUUGGGUGGGUCAAUGAUGGCAUUGAGUGGAGGGGUGUCGAUGGCCGUGGUGGAAUCGACGUGUGGGGGACCGGCACCAUCGUCACCGUCUCGUCCGCCCAGGCCGGGCCCCCCCGGGUGUUCCCGCUGUCCCCCUGCGGCCCCCAGCCCCUUUUCUCGGUGGGCUGCCUGGCGGUGGGCGCGGUGCCGGCGGCGCCGUUGAGGUGGCGCUGGAGCGACGCCCUCAACCGGAGCUUGGGCGGGGUCGAUUCCGGGGUGGGCGUGGCCCAGGGGGUGGGCGUGGCCUCCCGAGACCCCGCCCUGCUUUUCCUGGUGGCUUCCCGGCUGGAGGCGCCGUUGGAAGAGGGGAAAUCCCGGAUGCCGUUCCGGUGUCGGGCGGAGAAUCCGGCGGGAGGAGCCGCGGCUCAAGUGACCAAUCCUGGCCCCUCCUCCUCCCCGCUGGUGCCGGUGCUCACCCUGCACCCUCCGUCCCGCGAGGACUUCCAAGGUCCCUUCCGCAACUCCACCCUGCUGUGCCAGGUCCGUGCCCCACGUCGAUCGCCCGUCCGAUGGCUCGGAACGGAGACCCCCUGGGGGCUGGAGCCGCUUCCGAGGCCGCCGGGCCCGACGGAGCCGCCGUCGUCACCAGCAGCCGCCUCGGCGUCACCGAGGCCGAGUGGGAACGGGGGGACACCUUCACCUGCCUGGCUGAGGGGGAGAGUCGGAACACCAGCAAGGGGUUGGAGUGUCAAUACGACCAGUCUGGCGUCGCCGGCGGCACCGACGUGCGGGUGGAGACGUCGCCGCCGCUCUUCGCCGACAUCUUCGAGGCCAAGGCGGCCAAGCUGACGUGCCGGGUGUCCAACCUGGCGGGGGCCGAGGGGCUGGAGGUGACGUGGUUGAAGGAGGAUGGAGAAGCCCUGGCCACCAAGGUGGGGCCUCCGGCCCUGCAGCCCAACGGGCUCUUCGGCGCCGCCGCCGUGGCCUCGGUGGGGGCCGAGGAUUGGGAGUCCGGCCAGGCCUUCACCUGCAGGGUGGCCCACCCGGACCUGCUCUUCCCCAGGGAGGUCGUGCUCAGGAAGGAGAUUGUGCCCGACGCCCAGGCGCCCACCCUGUACCUGCUGCCCCCUCCCUCGGACCAACUCCGCCUGCAGGGCUCGGCCACCCUCACCUGCCUGGCCCUCUCCUUCAACCCCCCCGACCUCCUGCUCCGCUGGCUCCGCGACGGCGAACCCCUCCCCCCGGGCGCCGCCCUCACCUUCCCGCCCCGCCCCGAGCCCCGCCCGGGCCGCGCCUUCAGCCUGCUCAGCGCCCUCACCGUGCCCGCCGCCGACUGGCACCGCGGCGCCGCCUUCACCUGCCUGGUGGGCCACGAGCGGCUCCCGCUGCGCCUGGCCCAGAGGACCCUGGACAGGAGCUCGGGUAAAGCCGCGCCCGUGGACGAGAGCGAGGACCUUCAGGACCUCUGGGCCACGGCCUCGACCUUCAUCGUCCUCUUCAUCCUCAGCCUCUUCUACGGCGCCACCGUCACCCUCAUCAAGGUAAAAUGA